GGGAUAGCCUUUCGAAAGAAAGAUUAAUACCCGAUGGCAUAGUUCUUCCGCAUGGUAGAACUAUUAAAGAAUUUCGGUCAUCGAUGGGGAUGCGUUCCAUUAGGUUGUUGGCGGGGUAACGGCCCACCAAGCCUUCGAUGGAUAGGGGUUCUGAGAGGAAGGUCCCCCACAUUGGAACUGAGACACGGUCCAAACUCCUACGGGAGGCAGCAGUGAGGAAUAUUGGUCAAUGGACGAGAGUCUGAACCAGCCAAGUAGCGUGAAGGAUGACUGCCCUAUGGGUUGUAAACUUCUUUUAUACGGGAAUAAAGUGAGGCACGUGUGCCUUUUUGUAUGUACCGUAUGAAUAAGGAUCGGCUAACUCCGUGCCAGCAGCCGCGGUAAUACGGAGGAUCCGAGCGUUAUCCGGAUUUAUUGGGUUUAAAGGGAGCGUAGGCGGACGCUUAAGUCAGUUGUGAAAGUUUGCGGCUCAACCGUAAAAUUGCAGUUGAUACUGGGUGUCUUGAGUACAGUAGAGGCAGGCGGAAUUCGUGGUGUAGCGGUGAAAUGCUUAGAUAUCACGAAGAACUCCGAUUGCGAAGGCAGCCUGCUGGACUGUAACUGACGCUGAUGCUCGAAAGUGUGGGUAUCAAACAGGAUUAGAUACCCUGGUAGUCCACACAGUAAACGAUAAAGACUCGCUGUUUGCGAUAUACAGUAAGCGGCCAAG
This 709-nucleotide ribosomal RNA is filed under the name uncultured bacterium. Its description in RNAcentral is "bacterial SSU rRNA". It matches the Rfam family "Bacterial small subunit ribosomal RNA", at positions 140 to 851 of the family's 1533-position model. The record is from RNAcentral.